RNAcentral lists this ribosomal RNA (328 nucleotides) under Siphonaria sp. AM C447275. Its description in RNAcentral is "partial 12S ribosomal RNA". Lineage: Eukaryota; Metazoa; Mollusca; Gastropoda; Siphonariida; Siphonariidae. The record is from RNAcentral.
UUGAGCUCAAAUAAUACCCUAAGUAGUAAGACUUUAAAGUUAAAACUUAAAGAACAUGGCGGCUUAAAUUAUUCAGGGGAACUUACUGCAUAAACGAUGAUCCACGAGUCCACUUCCUGUUUUUACAGCUUAUAUACCGCCGUUUAGUGUUUAACUAAGUUAAGCACAAACAAAAAACCUUUUUAAAUCAGGUCAUGGUGUAGCAGAUAAAUAGGUGUAAGCGAGUUACAAUAAAAAUUUUUUUCGGACAAGUUCUAUAAACACUAUUAAAGCUGGACUUGAAAGUAAAGUUAAACAAAAAUAAAAUUUGAAUUUUUUAUUUAAGUGU